This 378-nucleotide ribosomal RNA is filed under the name uncultured bacterium. RNAcentral's name for it is "bacterial SSU rRNA". It matches the Rfam family "Bacterial small subunit ribosomal RNA", at positions 28 to 411 of the family's 1533-position model. The record is from RNAcentral.
GAUAAACGCUAGCGGCAGGCUUAACACAUGCAAGUCGAGGGGUAUUGGUUUUCGGACCAAGAGACCGGCGCACGGGUGCGUAACGCGUAUGCAAUCUACCUUUUGCAGAGGAUAGCCCAGAGAAAUUUGGAUUAAUACCUCAUAGUAUAGUACUUUGGCAUCAAGGAACUAUUAAAGUCACAACGGCAAAAGAUGAGCAUGCGUCCCAUUAGCUAGUUGGUAAGGUAACGGCUUACCAUGGCUACGAUGGGUAGGGGUCCUGAGAGGGAGAUCCCCACACUGGUACUGAGACACGGACCAGACUCCUACGGGAGGCAGCAGUGAGGAAUAUUGGUCAAUGGACGCAAGUCUGAACCAGCCAUGCCGCGUGCAGGAUGA